Molecule: ribosomal RNA, 468 nt
Filed under: uncultured bacterium
Lineage: Bacteria
Description: partial 16S ribosomal RNA
Rfam family: Bacterial small subunit ribosomal RNA
Source: RNAcentral
GACGAACGCUGGCGGCGUGCUUAACACAUGCAAGUCGAACGGAAAGGCCCUGCUUUUGUGGGGUGCUCGAGUGGCGAACGGGUGAGUAACACGUGAGUAACCUGCCCUUGACUUUGGGAUAACUUCAGGAAACUGCGGCUAAUACCGGCUAGGAGCUCCUGCUGCAUGGUGGGGGUUGGAAAGUUUCGGCGGUUGGGGAUGGACUCGCGGCUUAUCAGCUUGUUGGUUGGGUAGUUGCUUACCAAGGCUUCGACGGGUAGCCGGCCUGAGAGGGUGACCGGGGACAUUGGGACUAAGAUAGGGACCAGACUGCUACGGGAGGCAGCAGUGGGAAAUAUUGCACAAUGGGCGGAAGCCUGAUGCAGCAACGCCGGGAGCGGGAUGACGGCCUUCGGGUGGUAAACCGCUUUCGCCUGUGACGAAGCGUGAGUGACGGUAAUGGGUAAAGAAGCACCGGCUAACUACGUG